Molecule: transfer RNA, 85 nt
Filed under: Bradyrhizobium sp. MOS003
Lineage: Bacteria; Pseudomonadati; Pseudomonadota; Alphaproteobacteria; Hyphomicrobiales; Nitrobacteraceae
Description: tRNA-Lys
Source: RNAcentral
GGAUCCAGAGUGCCAGUAUAUCCUCCGUAAGGCCAGCUGACUCUUAAUCAGCGGGUCCCAGGUUCGAGCCCUGGUGCGCCCACCA